ACUUAUUGAAUCUUAAUAAACUAGUUUUAUAUUAAUAGAGUUGGAUUUCCAACUAUGACGAUAAACGAAUUUCGUAAUAAACAUUGCGGACGUGGGGGCAGUACCCACCACCUCCA
Molecule: transfer-messenger RNA, 116 nt
Filed under: Alphaproteobacteria bacterium
Lineage: Bacteria; Pseudomonadati; Pseudomonadota; Alphaproteobacteria
Description: partial transfer-messenger RNA
Rfam family: Alphaproteobacteria transfer-messenger RNA
About the family: Bacterial tmRNA, also known as 10Sa RNA or SsrA, is named for its dual tRNA and mRNA-like properties. Its role is to liberate the mRNA from a stalled ribosome.
Source: RNAcentral